GAUGAACGCUGGCGGCGUGCUUAACACAUGCAAGUCGAACGAUGAAGCCCAGCUUGCUGGGUGGAUUAGUGGCGAACGGGUGAGUAACACGUGAGUAACCUGCCCUUAACUCUGGGAUAAGCCUGGGAAACUGGGUCUAAUACCGGAUAGGAGCGUCCACCGCAUGGUGGGUGUUGGAAAGAUUUAUCGGUUUUGGAUGGACUCGCGGCCUAUCAGCUUGUUGGUGAGGUAAUGGCUCACCAAGGCGACGACGGGUAGCCGGCCUGAGAGGGUGACCGGCCACACUGGGACUGAGACACGGCCCAGACGCCUACGGGAGGAAGCAGUGGGGAAUAUUGCACAAUGGGCGCAAGCCUGAUGCAGCGACGCCGCGUGAGGGAUGACGGCCUUCGGGUUGUAAACCUCUUUCAGUAGGGAAGAAGCGAAAGUGACGGUACCUGCAGAAGAAGCACCGGCUAACUACGCG
Molecule: ribosomal RNA, 466 nt
Filed under: uncultured bacterium
Lineage: Bacteria
Description: partial 16S ribosomal RNA
Rfam family: Bacterial small subunit ribosomal RNA
Source: RNAcentral